RNAcentral lists this long non-coding RNA (549 nucleotides) under Triticum aestivum (bread wheat). RNAcentral's name for it is "long non-coding RNA (TAES_LNC026089)". The record is from RNAcentral. Lineage: Eukaryota; Viridiplantae; Streptophyta; Magnoliopsida; Poales; Poaceae.
CGACAUUAUUUUGCAGAAAGGUAAAAACUAUCCAUAUCAGCCAAGGAACGACAGCAAUCAGCUAAACAAAGUUGAUUGGACGCAAUCAGCUCCCCUUUCACACAUGUCAAAUGCAAUUUUACAACUCAGUUGGCUUGCACGUUGCAUCACAAGUCUUAAGCACAGGUGGAUGUCUGUCUGGCGAGCCUUGCACCCCGGAGAGGGCACAGGAAACAACGCACCACUAUAAGUUAACACCCAGUUGCAAUAUAUUUAUGCUUCCUAAUACAAAUAUCUGAAAACAAAAGAUUGCCAAACUACCAACGGCUGAAUUAUUCUGAAUGUACAGAUAAAAACAAGCACUAAACCAUAAUAGGUGAAUCUAUUCUCUCGGAAGCAAUUUACAUCUUGGAGGCAGCCAUCACAACCAACUGUUUCCAGCCAAUGAUCAUCAUGAACCUAAUGUUGGGGCGGCUUCCUUAACAGAUAGAUAACCACUGCAGCAAGCAAAACAAGUGUUGUGUCAGAUGAAAGAGAGUAGAGUUGCGUUUUGUGCAAACUAUUAUAGAG